RNAcentral lists this long non-coding RNA (1049 nucleotides) under Marmota monax (woodchuck). The record is from RNAcentral. Lineage: Eukaryota; Metazoa; Chordata; Mammalia; Rodentia; Sciuridae.
GGAAAUGAAAAGCUUUGAAAUGCAGCUGUCCCACUCCCUACUAUUUCCACUUAAACCCAACUAUUUUUCCAUCAGGAUCCAACACACUUGUGGUGACACAUGGAAACAGGGUGAGCUCAUGGACUCGGGGGAAUAAAAAGCCCAGCAUUCCCAACACAGCACCCUGAAAGCACUUUGCUACUCUCAGCCUCUACUUCUAUUGAAGGUAAAUGUGGAGGAAGACCGAGUGAUGGAAAAACCCACUUCAGAGCAGAAAAUGACAGAAAAAAAAAAAUAGACAUCUGACUGCCAUUUAUUAAUAAUGCUAGAGACAAAAAAUCACUUGACCUAAAACCAUUCUAACUGUAAAUUGCCUUUAUUCUUUCAGAUCAUAAAAUGUAACUCCUUUGGCAAAAUUAAAGAGAGUGGUACCAAAAACUGAUAAUCAAUAAUGAUUAAUUGAGAGUGUGUACCAUGUAAUAUGAGAAUACAAAGGAAGGAGUGGCUGAUUCUGGUGGUCUUAACAUUUAAGUAAAGGAGAAUCUCACAUCUGAAGACAGGGCACACAAGCUCAUUUCUCAUAAAGGAAAGCUGCUUUUCUUGAUCACUGUUUGUAUGUUUCUGACACUGUGGUAUUAACAUUUUAAAUAGAAUCUUUAACCAUUGUAUGUGAAUCAAUCAGAUCUUUUUGAAGGCCAGGCUCAGAGAAUGACCUUAAUUGAAUUGGUUACUGCAUUGUUCUUGGUAAUUUGGUUUUGUUAUAUAUCCUUCUACUAGAUAUUAAUGUCUGGUUUGAAUUAAAGUCUGCAGCAUGCUCAGAAGUUGUGAGAGUAACUGACGUAACUUGUCUGCAGCCAAUGGCCAAAAGGAUUUAUUGUAAUUUGUAGCAUACAGCUUAUUCAUUUAAUUGACCCACACACCUGUUGACAAGCACCAUGCUAGAUAUAGAUAUAAAAUUUUGUAGUCUGUUUCUGCCAAAUAUUUAUAUUACAAUGGGACAGGAUAUUUGACUUCUCUGAGCCUGUUUCCUCUUAAGUUUGUAAGAACUGGAUGAGAUAAAUAUAUGUAAA